AGCGGCGGACGGGUGAGUAACACGUGGGUAACCUGCCCAAGAGACUGGGAUAACACCUGGAAACAGAUGCUAAUACCGGAUAACAACACUAGACGCAUGUCUAGAGUUUGAAAGAUGGUUCUGCUAUCACUCUUGGAUGGACCUGCGGUGCAUUAGCUAGUUGGUAAGGUAACGGCUUACCAAGGCAAUGAUGCAUAGCCGAGUUGAGAGACUGAUCGGCCACAUUGGGACUGAGACACGGCCCAAACUCCUACGGGAGGCAGCAGUAGGGAAUCUUCCACAAUGGACGAAAGUCUGAUGGAGCAACGCCGCGUGAGUGAAGAAGGGUUUCGGCUCGUAAAGCUCUGUUGGUAGUGAAGAAAGAUAGAGGUAGUAACUGGCCUUUAUUUGACGGUAAUUACUUAGAAAGUCACGGCUAACUACGUGCCAGCAGCCGCGGUAAUACGUAGGUGUCAAGCGUUGUCCGGAUUUAUUGGGCGUAAAGCGAGUGCAGGCGGUUCAAUAAGUCUGAUGUGAAAGCCUUCGGCUCAACCGGAGAAUUGCAUCAGAAACUGUUGAACUUGAGUGCAGAAGAGGAGAGUGGAACUCCAUGUGUAGCGGUGGAAUGCGUAGAUAUAUGGAAGAACACCAGUGGCGAAGGCGGCUCUCUGGUCUGCAACUGACGCUGAGGCUCGAAAGCAUGGGUAGCGAACAGGAUUAGAUACCCUGGUAGUCCAUGCCGUAAACGAUGAGUGCUAAGUGU
This 742-nucleotide ribosomal RNA is filed under the name uncultured bacterium. RNAcentral's name for it is "bacterial SSU rRNA". It matches the Rfam family "Bacterial small subunit ribosomal RNA", at positions 94 to 823 of the family's 1533-position model. The record is from RNAcentral.